GUACACGCUGUGACUAGCAUAUCAAUAAGCGGAGGAAAAGAAACUAACAAGGAUUCCCUCAGUAACGGCGAGUGAAGCGGGAAGAGCUCAAAUUUGAAAUCUUGAAAGGUCACCUUUCACGAAUUGUAGUUUAAAGAAGUGUUUUCUGUUACGAUCGUAAUAUAAGUUCUUUGGAAUAGGACAUCAUAGAGGGUGAGAAUCCCGUCUAUUGACCAUUGGAUUUGUCAGCUUUGUGAUACACUUUCAAAGAGUCGGGUUGUUUGGGAAUGCAGUCCAAAAUGGGUGGUAAAUUUCAUCUAAAGCUAAAUAUUGGCGAGAGACCGAUAGCGAACAAGUACCGUGAGGGAAAGAUGAAAAGAACUUUGAAAAGAGAGUUAAACAGUACGUGAAAUUGUCAAAAGGGAAGCGUUUGACACCAGUGUUGUUUUCUCGAAAAUCAAUUAAAAAUGGCUCGAUUUUGUAUCGCUUGAGACCUUAAAAGCUCACUGUACAUUUUUCGUGUCCUUUUUAAUGCACUUUUCGUUUAACAAGUCAACAUCAGUUUCUUUUGUUGUAAAAGGGUCAUUGGAAGGUGGCUUUCUUUUCGGAGAAAGUGUUUAUAGCCUUUGGCCUCUGCAAUCGGAGAGACUGAGGUCUGCAGCGUAGACUCUUCGGGGUUAGAUACAUUUGUGCUAAGUUAUAGCUUUUUAUAGACAACUUGUUGACUAUAAUUAGUCUUGUAGCUUACUCGCUUAUGCUAUUUUACCUACGCUUAGGAUGUUGAGUAGCGACAUACGCAC
RNAcentral lists this ribosomal RNA (779 nucleotides) under uncultured Neocallimastigales. RNAcentral describes it as "partial large subunit ribosomal RNA". It matches the Rfam family "Eukaryotic large subunit ribosomal RNA", at positions 22 to 649 of the family's 3401-position model. The record is from RNAcentral. Lineage: Eukaryota; Fungi; Neocallimastigomycota; Neocallimastigomycetes; Neocallimastigales.